Molecule: ribosomal RNA, 265 nt
Filed under: unidentified marine bacterioplankton
Lineage: Bacteria
Description: partial 16S ribosomal RNA
Rfam family: Bacterial small subunit ribosomal RNA
Source: RNAcentral
AAGAGCUUGCUUUUCCGCUGACGACCGGCGCACGGGUGCGUAACACGUAUGCAACCUACCUCUUACUGAAGGAUAGCCCAGAGAAAUUUGGAUUAAUACUUCAUAACACCACAAGAUCGCAUGAUCUCAUGGUCAAAGGUUACGGUAAGAGAUGGGCAUGCGUCCUAUUAGUUUGUUGGUGAGGUAAUGGCUCACCAAGACUACGAUAGGUAGGGGUCUGAGAGGAUUAUCCCCCACACUGGUACUGAGACACGGACCAGACUCC